Molecule: non-coding RNA, 228 nt
Organism: Pelobates cultripes (western spadefoot toad)
Lineage: Eukaryota; Metazoa; Chordata; Amphibia; Anura; Pelobatidae
Source: the annotation of a GenBank genome assembly
CCUCAAUCCCUCUGUUACUGUGUCUAAUACCCCACUCCCUCUAACAUGUAAACUCACUGAGCAGGACCCUCAAUCCCUCUGUUAAUGUGUCACUAUACCCCACUCCCUCUAACAUAUAAACUCACUGAGCGGGGCCCUCAAUCCCUCUGUUAUUGUGUCACUAUACCCCACUCCCUCUAACAUGUAAACUCACUGAGCAGGGCCCUCAAUCCCUCUGUUACUGUGUCA